CAGUAGGGAAUCUUCCACAAUGGGCGAAAGCCUGAUGGAGCAACGCCGCGUGUGUGAUGAAGGCUUUCGGGCCGUAAAGCACUGUUGUAUGGGAAGAACAGCUAGAAUAGGAAAUGAUUUUAGUUUGACGGUACCAUACCAGAAAGGGACGGCUAAAUACGUGCCAG
Molecule: ribosomal RNA, 167 nt
Filed under: uncultured bacterium
Lineage: Bacteria
Description: partial 16S rRNA
Rfam family: Bacterial small subunit ribosomal RNA
Source: RNAcentral